This 159-nucleotide ribosomal RNA is filed under the name Hyaloscypha sp. PWC-2015. RNAcentral's name for it is "5.8S ribosomal RNA". It matches the Rfam family "5.8S ribosomal RNA". Rfam says of the family: 5.8S ribosomal RNA (5.8S rRNA) is a component of the large subunit of the eukaryotic ribosome. The record is from RNAcentral. Lineage: Eukaryota; Fungi; Ascomycota; Leotiomycetes; Helotiales; Hyaloscyphaceae.
AAAACUUUCAACAACGGAUCUCUUGGCUCUGGCAUCGAUGAAGAACGCAGCGAAAUGCGAUAAGUAAUGUGAAUUGCAGAAUUCAGUGAAUCAUCGAAUCUUUGAACGCACAUUGCGCCCCUUGGUAUUCCGAGGGGCAUGCCUGUUCGAGCGUCAUUA